GCCUGGGUGGCUCAGUUGGUUGAGCGUCUGACUUCAGCUCAGGUCACGAUCUCAUGGUUUGUGAGUUCGAGCCCCGCAUCAGGCU
RNAcentral lists this transfer RNA (85 nucleotides) under Felis catus (domestic cat). It matches the Rfam family "tRNA". From Rfam's summary of the family: Transfer RNA (tRNA) molecules are approximately 80 nucleotides in length. Their secondary structure includes four short double-helical elements and three loops (D, anti-codon, and T loops). Further hydrogen bonds mediate the characteristic L-shaped molecular structure. tRNAs have two regions of fundamental functional importance: the anti-codon, which is responsible for specific mRNA codon recognition, and the 3' end, to which the tRNAs corresponding amino acid is attached (by aminoacyl-tRNA synthetases). tRNAs cope with the degeneracy of the genetic code in two manners: having more than one tRNA (with a specific anti-codon) for a particular amino acid; and 'wobble' base-pairing, i.e. permitting non-standard base-pairing at the 3rd anti-codon position. The record is from Rfam by way of RNAcentral. Lineage: Eukaryota; Metazoa; Chordata; Mammalia; Carnivora; Felidae.